AUUGAACGCUGGCGGCAUGCUUUACACAUGCAAGUCGAACGGUAACAGGUUAAGCUGACGAGUGGCGAACGGGUGAGUAAUGCAUCGGAACGUGCCUGGUCGUGGGGGAUAACGCAGCGAAAGCUGCGCUAAUACCGCAUACGAUCUGAGGAUGAAAGCGGGGGACCGUAAGGCCUCGCGCGGUCGGAGCGGCCGGUGUGAGAUUAGGUAGUUGGUGGGGUAAAGGCUCACCAAGCCAACGAUCUGUAGCUGGUCUGAGAGGACGACCAGCCACACUGGGACUGAGACACGGCCCAGACUCCUACGGGAGGCAGCAGUGGGGAAUUUUGGACAAUGGGCGAAAGCCUGAUCCAGCAAUGCCGCGUGCAGGAAGAAGGCCUUCGGGUUGUAAACUGCUUUUGUACGGAGCGAAAAGGUCUCCUCUAAUACAGGGGGCUCAUGACGGUACCGUAAGAAUAAGCACCGGCUAACUACGUGCCAGCAGCCGCCGUAA
This 493-nucleotide ribosomal RNA is filed under the name uncultured bacterium. RNAcentral describes it as "partial 16S ribosomal RNA". It matches the Rfam family "Bacterial small subunit ribosomal RNA", at positions 29 to 523 of the family's 1533-position model. The record is from RNAcentral.